Molecule: small nuclear RNA, 284 nt
Filed under: Octodon degus (degu)
Lineage: Eukaryota; Metazoa; Chordata; Mammalia; Rodentia; Octodontidae
Description: 7SK RNA (ENSODEG00000022849.1)
Rfam family: 7SK RNA
About the family: 7SK was discovered as an abundant small nuclear RNA in the mid-70s but a possible function has only recently been suggested.
Source: Rfam by way of RNAcentral
AGAUGUGAGGAUGAUCUGGCUGCGACAUCUGUCACCCCAUUGAUCACCAGGGUUGAUUCGGCUCAUCUGGCUGGCUAGGCAGGUGUCCCCUUCCUCCCUCAACGAUCUAUGUUUGUCCCUCCCGAAGCUGUACACUUGGUCGAAGAGGACAACCACCCCCGAUAAAGGAGGACCGUCCUCAGUCAAGGGUAUACGAGUAGCUGUGCUCCCCUGCUAGAACCUCCAAACAAGCUCUCAAGAAAAAGGAGAAAAGAGGGAAAAUAUAGAAAUAAAGCUUUGUAAAU